UACGGGGGGGGCAAGCGUUGUUCGGAAUUACUGGGCGUAAAGCGUACGUAGGCGGCUUUGUAAGUUAGAGGUGAAAGCCCAGAGCUCAACUCUGGAAUUGCCUUUAAGACUGCAUCGCUUGAAUCGUGGAGAGGUUAGUGGAAUUCCGAGUGUAGAGGUGAAAUUCGUAGAUAUUCGGAAGAACACCAGUGGCGAAGGCGACUAACUGGACACGUAUUGACGCUGAGGUACGAAAGCGUGGGGAGCAAACAGG
Molecule: ribosomal RNA, 253 nt
Filed under: uncultured bacterium
Lineage: Bacteria
Description: partial 16S ribosomal RNA
Rfam family: Bacterial small subunit ribosomal RNA
Source: RNAcentral